GGGAAGUAGAGGUACAGGGAAUUUCCGGUGGAGCGGUGAAAUGCGUAGAUAUCGGAAGGAACACCCAAUAUGGCGAAGGCACUGUACUGGGCUUUACCUGACGCUAAGAGACGAAAGCUAAAGGAGUGAUUAGGAUUAGAUACCCUAGUAAUUUUAGCCGUAAACGAUGGAAACUCACUGCCGCGCCGGUAUUCGGAGCGGUGGUCAAGCUAACGCGUGAAGUUUCCCGCCUGGGGAUUACGCAUGCAAAUGUGAAACUCAAAGGAAUUGACGGGGACCCGCACAAGCGGUGGAGUACGUGGUUUAAUUCGAUGCAACGCGAAAAACCUUACCAAGGUUUGAAAUCAUUCUAAAACUCUUUGAAAGAAGAGCCUCCUUCGGGAUAGAAUGACAGGUGGUGCAUGGCUGUCGUCAGCUCGUGUUGUGAAAUGUCGAGUUAAGUCUUGUAACGAGCGCAACCCAUGUCUUUUGUUGCUGUUUACAGUGCUUAAAAGAGACUGCCGCUCUACAGCGGAGGAAGGUGUGGAUGAUGUCAAGUCAGCAUGCCCCUUAUAUCUUGGGCUACACACGUACUACAAUGGUAGGGACAAUGAGUCGCAAACCUGCGAAGGCUAGCCAAUCUCAAAAACCCUAUCUCAGUUCAGAUUGUACUCUGCAACUCGAGUGCAUGAAGGUGGAAUCGCUAGUAAUCGCUGGUCAGCAUACAGCGGUGAAUACGUUCCCGGGUCUUGUACACACUGCCCGUCACACCAUGGAAGUCGAUCCUUCCCUAAGUCGUUACUCGAACCUUUUAGGACGAGGAUGCCGAAGGCAGGGUUGGUGACUAGGGUGAAGUCGUAACAAGGUAGCCGUA
Molecule: ribosomal RNA, 853 nt
Filed under: uncultured bacterium
Lineage: Bacteria
Description: bacterial SSU rRNA
Rfam family: Bacterial small subunit ribosomal RNA
Source: RNAcentral